This 71-nucleotide ribosomal RNA is filed under the name Photobacterium phosphoreum. RNAcentral's name for it is "partial 16S ribosomal RNA". It matches the Rfam family "Bacterial small subunit ribosomal RNA", at positions 1463 to 1533 of the family's 1533-position model. The record is from RNAcentral. Lineage: Bacteria; Pseudomonadati; Pseudomonadota; Gammaproteobacteria; Vibrionales; Vibrionaceae. RNAcentral also lists the same sequence under 5 other names.
UGUGGUUCAUGACUGGGGUGAAGUCGUAACAAGGUAGCCCUAGGGGAACCUGGGGCUGGAUCACCUCCUUA